CUCGUAGGCGGUUUGGUCGCGUCCGGUGUGAAAGUCCAUCGCUUAACGGUGGAUCCGCGCCGGGUACGGGCGGGCUUGAGUGCGGUAGGGGAGACUGGAAUUCCCGGUGUAACGGUGGAAUGUGUAGAUAUCGGGAAGAACACCAAUGGCGAAGGCAGGUCUCUGGGCCGUCACUGACGCUGAGGAGCGAAAGCGUGGGGAGCGAACA
Molecule: ribosomal RNA, 208 nt
Filed under: uncultured bacterium
Lineage: Bacteria
Description: partial 16S ribosomal RNA
Rfam family: Bacterial small subunit ribosomal RNA
Source: RNAcentral